This 585-nucleotide long non-coding RNA is filed under the name Rattus norvegicus (Norway rat). RNAcentral's name for it is "long non-coding RNA NONRATT021377". The record is from RNAcentral. Lineage: Eukaryota; Metazoa; Chordata; Mammalia; Rodentia; Muridae.
UUGUGGAGAAACCUGUAACUCGCCCCUGCUGAUAGCAAGAUGUCUUCAGGAAAUGCAAAAGGUGGGCAUCCUGCUCCUGACUUCAAAGCCACGGCUGUUAUGCCAGAUGGACAAUUCAAAGAUAUCAGCCUAAGUGAGUAGAAAGGAAAAUGUGUUGCAUUCUUUUUUUUACCCUCUUGACUUUACUUUUGUCUGUCCCACGGAGAUCGUUGCUUUCAGUGAUAGAGCAGAAGAAUUUAAGAAACUCCACUGCCGAGUGAUUGGAGCUUCUGUGGAUUCUCACUUCUGUCAUGUGGCAUGGAUUAACACACCCAAGAAACAAGGAGGAUUGGGACCCCUGAGCAUUCCCUUGGUAUCAGAUCCCAAGCGCACCAUUGCUCAGGAUGAUGGAGUCUUAAAGGCAGAUGAAGGUUAUCUCUUUCAGGGGCCUCUUUAUUAUUGAUGAUAAAGGUAGCCUUCACCAGAUAACAAUAAAUGAUCUUCCUGUUGGCCUCUCUGUGGAUGAGAUUCUGAGACUAGUCCAGGCCUUCUAGUUCACUGACAAACAUGGCGAAGUGUGCUCAGCUAGCCGGAAACCUGGCAGUG